Molecule: long non-coding RNA, 628 nt
Filed under: Cavia porcellus (domestic guinea pig)
Lineage: Eukaryota; Metazoa; Chordata; Mammalia; Rodentia; Caviidae
Description: lncRNA (ENSCPOG00000034118.1)
Source: RNAcentral
GGAUUGCAUCUGGAAAUGGGAUAGGGUUGAAGUUCUAAUAAGACUUUCUUCUUUUUUUCUUCCAGAGAAGACUGUUUCUGAUCAUGAAGGGCACAUGGCUUUGAUGUGAGAAAAUGUCAAGAGGUCCUAGAUUGGACAUGCAGAGCAGGGACUGGACUUCCACACUGCUGAGCUGCCCUUGCAUGCCAGUCUGCUAGAGCCAAAUCUGCAAAGCGAUGUCCAUUUUCCUGCUCUGCUCAGGACUUGGGUGACGUAAGUGGCAGAGUGGAGUCCUUUGCAGAUCACACAGGAAGCUAUUGCCUACUCUGUGAUUGUGUCAUUUUGUGCAAGACAAGCCAUUGACCUGUCUUGGAUUCUUCCUUGAUUCUGAGAAUUGUAGAAAGCAAAGUCUUUCAGGAAAAAGAGGAGAGAUGCAAAGGGGUUGGAACUGCUGAUCUCUAGAGUUCUUCCUGGACGUCUAAAGAGUGGCCCCAGAUGCUCUUUCACAACCCAGUAUGCGGGGGACCGCAUUGAGCAACGUGAGCAAAGCCCAUUGCCCUUUCAACAUUUCCUCUGUAUCUCUGCCUUUACGAGACCCUUUCCUUUCUGGCACGUCCACACCAUUCAUCUAGUAAGUGAACAACAGUGA